Molecule: ribosomal RNA, 440 nt
Filed under: uncultured bacterium
Lineage: Bacteria
Description: partial 16S ribosomal RNA
Rfam family: Bacterial small subunit ribosomal RNA
Source: RNAcentral
CCUACGGGUGGCAGCAGUAGGGAAUAUUGCGCAAUGGGCGAAAGCCUGACCCAGCAACGCCGCGUGGAGGAAGAAGGUUUUCGGAUUGUAAACUUCUUUUGUUAGAGAAGAUCAUGACGGUAUGUAACUAAAAAGCACCGGCUCAAUCCGGGCCAGCAGCCGCGGUAAUACGGAGGGUGCACGCGUUACUCGGAAUGUCUGGGCGGAAAGAGCGCGUAGGCGGGAGAGCAAGUCAGAUGUGAAAUCCUAUGGCUCAACCAUAGAACUGCAUUUGAAACUGUUAUACUAGAGUAUGGGAGAGGUAGGUGGAAUUCUUGGUGUAGGGGUAAAAUGCGUAGAGAUAAGGAGGAAUACUAGUUGCGAAGGCGACCUGCUAGAACAUAACUGACGCUGAUGCGCGAAAGCGUGGGGAGCAAACAGGAUUAGAUACCCUAGUAGUC